Trematomus bernacchii (emerald rockcod) is the source of this 1883-nucleotide long non-coding RNA. RefSeq lists it as uncharacterized. Lineage: Eukaryota; Metazoa; Chordata; Actinopteri; Perciformes; Nototheniidae. The transcript has 4 exons. The record is from RefSeq and is a predicted model, not a curated record.
AUUAACUUACAUCCAUAACGUUAUAAAUGUUCUUUUAUUCAUACUUUCAUUUGUAGGUACUAAAGUAAGAACUGCAGAGAUACAUGUUGACUGAUUCUUAAAGGAACUGAAAUAGAUGUUAGUUGUAAAAAGUAAAUCUAUGUUUUUAAUAUUUAGUAAACGAUGACGUCUGAAUAAAGUUAAUCUGAAGUAAUAUUAGUUUUACAGGAUAAAGUUGACUUUCUGAAGAAGACAUAUGUUUUUGUUCCCAUUCAUUUCAAUGUUGAGUAACACAUCUGAUUAUAAACAGAUUUGUAUCCUCAUCAUGUUUUCUUUAUUCAGACUGAGGAGCUGCAGUUUGUCAGAGAUCAGCUGUUCUGCUCUGGCCUCAGCUCUGAAGUCCAACAUCCAUCUGAGAGAUCUGAACCUGUGUAGCAACGGUCUGCAGGAUUCAGAUGGGAAGCUGCUGAGAGAUCUUUUGGAGAGUCCAGACUGCAGACUGGAGACUCUCAGGAUCAGAGUAGGAGAGCCGAUCAGAGCCACGAUCCAGAAGACCUGUGACAGGAAGUGAAGACACACAGAAAGUUUAUUCAUCACGGGGCGAGUUUGAGACGUGAAGAGGAGCGUGGAGGCAUUUUGGAAAAUAAAGAAGAAGGCUGCAGCUGAUGAGAGACUUCCUGUUAGCUCUCCUCAAUAUCAAAUGAACAAAAACAAUCAAUUGUACUUAAAGCUUAUCUUAAGAAGAAAGAUGUGUUGCACAUACACCUGCUGCUACCUACCACCACCUCCCACCCAUCCCGGCACCAAAGAGGAGACUCCAUCGACCCCAGAUACCCCAACUCACUCUUCUUCAGGUUAGCUUGGAGCCCCGCCUUUACCUGCCCCAACAUCUCACUUUGAACGAUGUAGUCAUCCGGAUAUCUGCAUACUGAGAGUGGGACGCAGGACCCGGUCCAUGAGCUGCUGGAAGGGGGUCCACUGGACUGGAGGGGCUCUUGGAUCUGGUGAUGCCUUGCUCUUCCUGAAAGGGGAGGACACCUAUCUGCCAUAGUUUCUCCACCUGACGACUGAGUUCGGCAUCGGGGGUUCAGUUGGGGUGAAGAGACUCUGGGGGGCAUCCGAUGGCUCCUGAAUAGGGGGGGUCCUUGCAGUGUCCAACCUAAUGAUAAUAAUAAGAAUAAGAAUAAUGCAUGUUAUUUGUAAAGCACCUUUCAUUGCUAAAAGUAAUCUCAAAGUGCUACAAGGGGCAUAAUAUACUUUAUUUUUUUUAAAGAAACACAAGUUUAAUAAAAGGCUUUAAAAAAAGAAAGGUUUUUAGGCCCUUCUUAAAGGAGUCAGUGGUCUGUGGAGUCCUCAGUUUGUCUGGGAGGGAAUUCCACAGGUGAACAGAAAGCCCCCCCAUGGUGCGGAGUUUGGUCCUGGGGGGGGAAGCAGAUGGUUGGUUGUAGAAUGGAGGUAGCGUGUGGAGGUUUGUGAGGAGAGUAGUUCCUUGAGGUAUGAAGGAGCGUUCCCGUGGAUGCUCUGAUGGGUGAGGAGUGAGAUCUUGUAUUUGAACCUAGCUGGAGGGCUAUUGGUGCCCCCUGUGGACCCAAAGAGACUCUUUUGGUUGGGGUAAUGAGGUGAAAGUUAUCUGCACCUAUUAGUAGGAGAGGCUGCACUUUGGAAAUGAGGGAAGGGGAAGGCCUUGUAGGCGGAGAUAGUGUUUCUUGAGAUCAUCCACAGGAUAACUCUAGUCCACAAGUGAAAGUCUGUCAGAGGUGAAUGUGUCUUUGAGGAGGAAUGUUUUUUCUUGGGAUUGAAAGAGGGUGAUAUCUCAAAGGUCACUGAGGCUCCAUUUCAGAAUAAUAUAUAUGAUAUGUUUUAUAAUGAUUGAUCAUUAAAGUGUUCUCAAAGCUGGUAAAGGU